GAGUUUGAUCAUGGCUCAGAUUGAACGCUGGCGGCAGGCCUAACACAUGCAAGUCGAACGGUAACAGAACUAGCUUGCUAGUUGCUGACGAGUGGCGGACGGGUGAGUAAUACUUAGGGAUCUGCCUCUGUGUGGGGGAUAACUAUUGGAAACGAUAGCUAAUACCGCAUAACGUCUACGGACCAAAGAGGGCUUCGGCUCUCGCGCAGAGAGGAACCUAAGUGAGAUUAGCUUGUUGGUGAGGUAAAGGCUCACCAAGGCGACGAUCUCUAGCUGUUCUGAGAGGAAGAUCAGCCACACUGGAACUGAGACACGGUCCAGACUCCUACGGGAGGCAGCAGUGGGGAAUAUUGCACAAUGGGGGCAACCCUGAUGCAGCCAUGCCGCGUGUGUGAAGAAGGCCUUCGGGUUGUAAAGCACUUUCAGUUGUGAGGAAAGGUUAGUAGUUAAUACCUGCUAGCUGUGACGUUAACAACAGAAGAAGCACCGGCUAACUCCGUGCCAGCAGCCGCGGUAAUACGGAGGGUGCGAGCGUUAAUCGGAAUUACUGGGCGUAAAGCGCACGCAGGCGGUCUGUUAAGCUAGAUGUGAAAGCCCCGCGCUCA
RNAcentral lists this ribosomal RNA (605 nucleotides) under uncultured bacterium. RNAcentral describes it as "bacterial SSU rRNA". It matches the Rfam family "Bacterial small subunit ribosomal RNA", at positions 9 to 611 of the family's 1533-position model. The record is from RNAcentral.